AGUGAACGCUGGCGGUAGGCCUAACACAUGCAAGUCGAACGGCAGCACAGUAAGAGCUUGCUCUUACGGGUGGCGAGUGGCGGACGGGUGAGGAAUACAUCGGAAUCUACUUUUUCGUGGGGGAUAACGUAGGGAAACUUACGCUAAUACCGCAUACGACCUACGGGUGAAAGCAGGGGAUCUUCAGACCUUGCGCGAUUGAAUGAGCCGAUGUCGGAUUAGCUAGUUGGCGGGGUAAAGGCCCACCAAGGCGACGAUCCGUAGCUGGUCUGAGAGGAUGAUCAGCCACACUGGAACUGAGACACGGUCCAGACUCCUACGGGAGGCAGCAGUGGGGAAUAUUGGACAAUGGGCGCAAGCCUGAUCCAGCCAUACCGCGUGGGUGAAGAAGGCCUUCGGGUUGUAAAGCCCUUUUGUUGGGAAAGAAAAGCAGCAGGUUAAUACCCCGCUGUUCUGACGGUACCCAAAGAAUAAGCACCGGCUAACUUCGU
Molecule: ribosomal RNA, 491 nt
Filed under: uncultured bacterium
Lineage: Bacteria
Description: partial 16S ribosomal RNA
Rfam family: Bacterial small subunit ribosomal RNA
Source: RNAcentral